CAACAGCCCUCUGGGAGGGCAAGUGGAAGAGUGAGUAGAUCAGCUGGAUAGGAGUGAGGAGUUGGAGGAAGGGUUGGGGUAUGGCCAGUGCAGUUAAGUGACUUGCCUUAGUGCACACCCCCAGAAAGUGACAGCACCAGCAUUUGAACCCUGACACAAGCAUCUCCAAAACUGCAUUCUUCCCACUGUGCCACAGUUAAGAUGAGUCCACCAGCCCUGUUUAGACUUUGGUGUUUGAACUGCGUUUUGAAGGCAAAGAAGUCAGAUAGACAAAUGAAAGAGAGGGAAAAGGCACUCCAGGUAGCAGGAACAGCAUGUGCAGAAUCAAAGAGGCAUGAAGAAAACUUAAAAUGUAGUCUUCCAAGUCAUGUACCCUAGAACUUAAAGUAUAAUAAAAAAAUAAACAUAGAAAAAUAAAAUAAAAUAAACUUUUAAAAAA
This 439-nucleotide long non-coding RNA is filed under the name Homo sapiens (human). RNAcentral's name for it is "HSALNT0388233". Lineage: Eukaryota; Metazoa; Chordata; Mammalia; Primates; Hominidae. The record is from RNAcentral.